UACAGAGGUCCCAAGCGUUGUUCGGAUUCACUAGGCGUAAAGGGUGCGUAGGCGGUCGGGUAAGUCUGAUGUGAAAUCUCCAAGCUUAACUUGGAAAUGGCAUCGGAUACUAUUCGGCUCGAGGAAUGGAGGGGAGACUGGAAUACUUGGUGUAGCAGUGAAAUGCGUAGAUAUCAAGUGGAACACCAGUGGCGAAGGCGAGUCUCUGGACAUUUCCUGACACUGAGGCACGAAAGCCAGGGGAGCAAACGGG
RNAcentral lists this ribosomal RNA (253 nucleotides) under uncultured bacterium. RNAcentral describes it as "partial 16S ribosomal RNA". It matches the Rfam family "Bacterial small subunit ribosomal RNA", at positions 524 to 776 of the family's 1533-position model. The record is from RNAcentral.